RNAcentral lists this ribosomal RNA (390 nucleotides) under uncultured bacterium. RNAcentral's name for it is "bacterial SSU rRNA". It matches the Rfam family "Bacterial small subunit ribosomal RNA", at positions 505 to 898 of the family's 1533-position model. The record is from RNAcentral.
GUGUCAGCAGCCGCGGUAAUACGUAGGUGGCAAGCGUUAUCCGGAAUGAUUGGGCGUAAAGGGUGCGCAGGCUGCGCGUCAAGUCUGAAGUGAAAGGUACGGGCUUAACCGGUACAGGCUUUGGAAACUGGCACGCUAGAGGACAGGAGAGGGCGGUGGAACUCCAUGUGUAGCGGUAAAAUGCGUAGAUAUAUGGAAGAACACCAGUUGCGAAGGCGACCGCCUGGACUGUUGCUGACGCUCAGGCACGAAAGCGUGGGGAGCAAAUAGGAUUAGAUACCCUAGUAGUCCACGCCCUAAACGAUGAGGAGCAGGUGUCGGAGGGAGGACCCCGGUGCCGAAGCUAACGCAGUGACUCCUCCGCCUGGGGAGUAUGCACGCAAGUGUGAA